This 402-nucleotide ribosomal RNA is filed under the name uncultured prokaryote. RNAcentral describes it as "bacterial SSU rRNA". It matches the Rfam family "Bacterial small subunit ribosomal RNA", at positions 355 to 774 of the family's 1533-position model. The record is from RNAcentral.
UAGGGAAUAUUAGUAAUGGGCGAAAGCCUGAACUAGCAACACCGCGUGUGCGAAGAAGGCCUUCGGGUUGUAAAGCACUUUUUGAGAGGAUGAGGAAGGACGGUACUCUCAGAAUAAGUCUCGGCUAACUACGUGCCAGCAGCCGCGGUAACACGUAGGAGGCAAACGUUAUCCGGAUUUACUGGGCGUAAAGCGCGUGUAGGAGGUUUGGUAAGUAGAGCGUGAAAGCUCCUGGCUCAACUGGGAGAGGUCGUUCUAAACUGCCGGACUAGAGGAUGGUAGAGGGAGGUGGAAUUCCGGGUGUAGCGGUGGAAUGCGCAGAUAUCCGGAGGAACACCAGUGGCGAAAGCGGCCUCCUGGACCACUCCUGACACUCAGACGCGAAAGCUGGGGUAGCAAACA